Molecule: transfer RNA, 72 nt
Organism: Rhizoclosmatium globosum
Lineage: Eukaryota; Fungi; Chytridiomycota; Chytridiomycetes; Chytridiales; Chytriomycetaceae
Rfam family: tRNA
About the family: Transfer RNA (tRNA) molecules are approximately 80 nucleotides in length. Their secondary structure includes four short double-helical elements and three loops (D, anti-codon, and T loops). Further hydrogen bonds mediate the characteristic L-shaped molecular structure. tRNAs have two regions of fundamental functional importance: the anti-codon, which is responsible for specific mRNA codon recognition, and the 3' end, to which the tRNAs corresponding amino acid is attached (by aminoacyl-tRNA synthetases). tRNAs cope with the degeneracy of the genetic code in two manners: having more than one tRNA (with a specific anti-codon) for a particular amino acid; and 'wobble' base-pairing, i.e. permitting non-standard base-pairing at the 3rd anti-codon position.
Source: Rfam
UGUUGUAUAGUGUAGUGGUGAUCACCCUGGUUUUUGAUACCAGUAACCCCGGUUCGAAUCCGGGUACGACCU